This 318-nucleotide ribosomal RNA is filed under the name uncultured bacterium. Its description in RNAcentral is "bacterial SSU rRNA". It matches the Rfam family "Bacterial small subunit ribosomal RNA", at positions 28 to 334 of the family's 1533-position model. The record is from RNAcentral.
GAUGAACGCUAGCGGCAGGCUUAACACAUGCAAGUCGAGGGGCAGCAUGAGACGGAGAUUCGUCGAAGUCUUGAUGGCGACCGGCGCAAGGGUGCGUAACGCGUGAGCAACUUGCCCGUUUCAGGGGGAUAACCGGUGGAAACGCCGACUAAUACCCCAUAGCAUUGGUUUGAGGCAUCUCUUACCAAUUAAAGAACUUCGGAAACGGAUAGGCUCGCGUGACAUUAGCUAGAUGGCGGGGUAACGGCCCACCAUGGCUACGAUGUCUAGGGGUUCUGAGAGGAAGGUCCCCCACACUGGAACUGAGACACGGUCCAG